RNAcentral lists this ribosomal RNA (463 nucleotides) under uncultured bacterium. Its description in RNAcentral is "partial 16S ribosomal RNA". It matches the Rfam family "Bacterial small subunit ribosomal RNA", at positions 28 to 506 of the family's 1533-position model. The record is from RNAcentral.
GACGAACGCUGGCGGCGUGCUUAACACAUGCAAGUCGAACGGAAAGGCCCUGCUUGCAGGGUACUCGAGUGGCGAACGGGUGAGUAACACGUGGGUGAUCUGCCCUGCACUUCGGGAUAAGCCUGGGAAACUGGGUCUAAUACCGGAUAGGAGCCAUUUUUAGUGUGAUGGUUGGAAAGUUUUUUCGGUGUAGGAUGAGCUCGCGGCCUAUCAGCUUGUUGGUGGGGUAAUGGCCUACCAAGGCGGCGACGGGUAGCCGGCCUGAGAGGGUGGACGGCCACAUGGGGACUGGGAUACGGCCCAGCCCCCCACGGGAGGCAGCAGGGGGGAAUUUUGCAAAAUGGGGGAAAGCCUGAUGCAGCGCCCCCGCGUGGGGGAUGAGGGCCUUCGGGUUGUAAACCCCUUUCGCUAGGGGCGAAGUUUUUGUGGCGGUACCAAGAUAAGAAGCACCGGCUAACUACGU